UAAGGAGUUUUCGGCAAUGGGGGGAACCCUGACCGAGCAACGCCGCGUGAAUGAUGAAGGCCCUAUGGGUCGUAAAAUUCUGUUGUAAGGGACGAAUGGCGCGAGUAGGAAAUGACUCGUGAUUGACUGUACCUUACGAGGAAGCCACGGCUAACUACGUGCCAGCAGCCGCGGUAAUACGUAGGUGGCAAGCGUUAUCCGGAAUUAUUGGGCGUAAAGAGUGAGCAGGCGGUCGUUUAAGUCUGAAGUCAAAGGCAGUAGCUUAACUAUUGUACGCUUUGGAAACUGGACGACUAGAGUUCGGGAGAGGUAAAUGGAACUUCAUGUGUAGCGGUGAAAUGCGUAGAUAUAUGAAAGAACACCAGUGGCGAAGGCGAUUUACUAGACCGAUACUGACGCUCAGUCACGAAAGCGUGGGUAGCAAAUAGG
RNAcentral lists this ribosomal RNA (429 nucleotides) under uncultured bacterium. Its description in RNAcentral is "bacterial SSU rRNA". It matches the Rfam family "Bacterial small subunit ribosomal RNA", at positions 355 to 776 of the family's 1533-position model. The record is from RNAcentral.